GGGGGCGACUAGUUUUGACAGAUACCUCUGAGGUUUAAACGCAAGUAGCGGUUGGCCAGGCCGCUUUAAAUAGGGCUAAAACGAAUAGUUGGCAAUACCAACAAUACAGUUUGGGCAGCAGCCUAAACCCGUUAGUUUAAUAUUUACGGCGUGUUAAACUUACGGUCAAUCAGCCGUAUGCUAUAAGAAAGGUUACUGUUUAGCCUCCUCUUAUCUAAGAUAAAUUAAACAAGUAAAAGCGCAGCGGUUUCGGGCAAGCACUUUUACUACAAAACCGAAACUAAACUUGUAGUGUUUAAAUUGUACGAGUAUUUGGACGCGGGUGCGAAUCCUGCCGCCUCCACU
Molecule: transfer-messenger RNA, 345 nt
Filed under: bovine gut metagenome
Rfam family: transfer-messenger RNA
About the family: Bacterial tmRNA, also known as 10Sa RNA or SsrA, is named for its dual tRNA and mRNA-like properties. Its role is to liberate the mRNA from a stalled ribosome.
Source: RNAcentral